UACGUAGGGGGCAAGCGUUGUCCGGAUUCAUUGGGCGUAAAGAGCGUGUAGGCGGCCAGGUAGGUCGGUUGUGAAAACUGGAGGCUCAACCUUCAGACGUCGACCGAAACCCCCUGGCUAGAGUCCGGGAGAGGAGAGUGGAAUUCCUGGUGUAGCAGUGGAAUGCGCAGAUAUCAGGAAGAACACCCGUGGCGAAAGCGGCUCUCUGGAACGGUACUGACGCUGAGACGCGAAAGCGUGGGGAGCGAACAGG
Molecule: ribosomal RNA, 253 nt
Filed under: uncultured bacterium
Lineage: Bacteria
Description: partial 16S ribosomal RNA
Rfam family: Bacterial small subunit ribosomal RNA
Source: RNAcentral